This 1633-nucleotide long non-coding RNA is filed under the name Paramuricea clavata. Lineage: Eukaryota; Metazoa; Cnidaria; Anthozoa; Malacalcyonacea; Plexauridae. The record is from RNAcentral.
GCGCAGACGAAACUAUUUCUCUAUAAAGUUGAGCUGAAAGGACUCACAGCACAAAAUAAAUAAUAAGACCAGAAGUCUCACUCGAUGUCGGAAUCUUUGAUGUUGAUGUCCCCGCGCAUGUCGGCUCGCGCAUCUUGGCCGCGUCUCGUUUCCAGUGUCCUAAACAAGUGUAAUUUGACAAAUUUACAUGUAAACAUUAAGGAGUGAGGAAGUUAAAACGAUACCAAUCGGGUUUUAGAGCUUUGGUGACCAUUUUAAAAGAAUAUAUGAUAAAUUCAAAGGUAAGUCUAUCGUAUUGCAUUGUCUUAAAUGAAUUCUCAGCUAAAAUACGGCAAUAAAUGAAUCAUAAAUUUAGUUAAAUUCACUGUUGACAACGAGGUUGACAGAUCCAAUGAUUUUUUUCCUUGAAUAGCUUUACCAUAGUUAUUUUACCUUAAAAUGUGGCUACCGAGGAUAUCUCUAAGAGAUUUUACACAGAUUAUUUGCACAAUCUCACGAUUUAAUCAUGCUGAUAACAUGAAAAUCCUAUCUCCACAUCAAUAGUUCACCAGUUCAACACUUAUAAGUUAUAAAUUCAAUAUAUUUUUGAACCAGUCCAUAUAUUAUUAUACACAAUGUAGUAUAGUUAAUUUGACCAUUGAGAAGUAAGGGUGUAUUACAUUACACAGACACUGCUGAAUUUUAGGUUACAUGCCAUUGGAUUGAUAUAUAAAAACAUUUGUAAAAACACACAUUAUCUUGUUGAUAGAAUAGUUAUUUGCAGUAUACUAACUGUUGGCAUACUCUAUUUCAGGCCUAUCAAUUGUUCUUGUCACUGGCAAUCUUUGAAAUACAAUCUUGCUCUGUGGCCUUUACUGACAAGUUGGCUUUUACUACAUAUGUGGCACUGACACCUCUUUAAUUAAUGCACCAGUCAAUGUAAACCCCCCAACCGGGGAGGGGCAGGGUUUUGACUUGGAGGGGUAGUAAAAGAGCAAAAUUGUCCCGCCCCCAGGGACAUCAAUGUCCCCUGCAUGUCUCUCAACCACGGGAAUAUAGUUUUGUAUAAUCAUAGAUCAGCAAUAGAAAAUCAAAUUCAUUUAUGUUGUUGUAUUUAAACUUUUCUUGUCAAGAAAACUAAAACAGCAACACAGGAUAUAUACAUAUAUUAACCACCGUCCAAGUCUCCCAUCAUUGUGGCAAAUUUAUAAUCAAAACGGACCACUUUCCCCACUAAACCUCCCGCCCCUCCCCGGUUGGGGGCAGGGUUUACAUUGACUGGUGCAUAACUAGAUGAUUGCAUGAAAGUUGAUUUACGUAUAAUUAGUUUAUGAAUAAACUCGCACUUUCAUUGUAGAGGUUAAGAUUUGAGUUCUACUAGCACUAUCUCUGACUGCCUUAGUAUGCAUCUGAUUGGUUAUAAUGGUUGAUCGAAUAUAUCAAAUGCAUUUGAUGGUCCCUUAAUGGUAAUGGUAGUCAAAUCUGAACCUCUAUAAUGUCAAUGAAGAAUGCAUACUGGAAAAGUAUCAACUUAAAUUUUAAUUGUCAAAUUAUGUUGUGGAAAGUAAAUAAAUCGAACAAUUCUGUUUGUUUCAACUAACUAGUUCACUGUCACUUUGGUUUUCAAAUCAAAGAAUCUUUAGCCUGGUUGAGC